GGCGCCAUAGCCAAGCGGUAAGGCAGAGCUCUGCAAAAGCUUUAUUCCCCAGUUCGAUUCUGGGUGGCGCCUCCA
This 75-nucleotide transfer RNA is filed under the name Pseudoflavonifractor phocaeensis. RNAcentral's name for it is "tRNA-Cys". It matches the Rfam family "tRNA". Rfam says of the family: Transfer RNA (tRNA) molecules are approximately 80 nucleotides in length. Their secondary structure includes four short double-helical elements and three loops (D, anti-codon, and T loops). RNAcentral also lists the same sequence under 10 other names. Lineage: Bacteria; Bacillati; Bacillota; Clostridia; Eubacteriales; Oscillospiraceae. The record is from RNAcentral.